GAUGAACGCUGGCGGCGUGCCUAAUACAUGCAAGUCGUGCGGGAUCUUCGGAUCCAGCGGCGAACGGGUGAGUAACACGUGGGCAACCUGCCCCUAAGACUGGGAUAACUUCGAGAAAUC
This 120-nucleotide ribosomal RNA is filed under the name uncultured bacterium. RNAcentral describes it as "partial 16S ribosomal RNA". It matches the Rfam family "Bacterial small subunit ribosomal RNA", at positions 28 to 158 of the family's 1533-position model. The record is from RNAcentral.